Physeter macrocephalus (sperm whale) is the source of this 3440-nucleotide long non-coding RNA. RefSeq lists it as uncharacterized. The record is from RefSeq and is a predicted model, not a curated record. The transcript has 3 exons. Lineage: Eukaryota; Metazoa; Chordata; Mammalia; Artiodactyla; Physeteridae.
CACCUGAAGGGGGUUUAGGCCCGGGAGAUCCGAGUCCAUCCGCGGCGGGGAGAGGGCAAGCGGGGUGGGCAGGGGCCGGAGCAGGGGCGGGGGCGCUCGGACUGCCCCAUCCGUCCCGUAUUGAGGCGUUGGAAGCGGCGGGGCGGCCGGAAAGCGAUGGUGAAAGCGGGGCCGUGAGGGGGGCGGAGCCGGCAGCCGGACCCGCAGUAGCGGCAGCAGCGGCACCGCCUCCCCGAGCUCAGACCCAGGAAGCGGCCGGGAGGGCAGGAGUGAACCGGUCGCGCCGCCGCCACCGCCACCGCCAUGGAGCUCAGAGUGGGGAACAGAUACCGGCUGGGCCGGAAGAUCGGCAGCGGCUCCUUCGGAGACAUCUAUCUCGGUACGGACAUUGCUGCAGGAGAAGAAGUUGCCAUCAAGCUUGAAUGUGUCAAAACCAAACACCCUCAGCUCCACAUUGAGAGCAAAAUCUACAAAAUGAUGCAGGGAGGAGACUUGUGUGAACGCUGACCUGGAGCUUGCUGCCGGUCCUCCUGUGCCGCCUUGGUCAUGCCCGCAGCUUUGGGAUGGUCCCUGCAGACUCUCCUGAGUGAGACCCCUUCUAGCUCAGUUACUGUCCCCAUUCUGUGAAACCUCCCCUUGGGCCUGAGGGUACCUGAUAUCAGAGUGCCCAUCCUGAUUUCAGAGUCUACCUUUUAGAAUUCUCUGGACUUUGAGAUUGUUUGGCUAAUGAAGCAGGAGGGGGUUUUAUUGGGGGUCUCAGAGUCCUGAAGACACUGCAGCAUUUUGAAGGCUGUGCCUGUGCUGCUCCCCAAGGAGCUCAGGAAGCCCAGGCACAGCCCUGAAUGUCCUGAGCUUUCUCUGGGGACAGGGCUUCGUGUGUGAAGAAUAGCUGUGUUAUUUCCUUUUGGAUACCCUGGGAAGCAGAAGCCCCCAUGAUACUUUCAUAGUUGCGGGGGUGGGGUGGGGAAGGCUCUUGGCACCUUGCCAAAAGAAAGCUUAUCUUCAGAGUCUGUGUUGGUCCUUUGGUCAGGUGGAAAGGGAGGACUGGUGAUGUGACUUCUUGACAUCUUUGCUUCACAAAGCAGUUUAAUCUGUCCUACUUACUACCAGAAAACAGCAUAUCUCAGUUGACACAGCACAGGGUGUCUCUUUAGCAGCAGAUAUAUCUUAAAGCAACACAAACAGUCCUAUAAGAUGACUGCAGAAGGGGGUGUCCAGUGCCGCUUGUCUCGGGCAUUAUGGGACCAGAGGAGGCUGUGGGUUCUCAGAUGGCACAUAGGGAGGAAACUCCCUGGCCCCUCCUGUGCCCAAGGAGACGUUGGCAGAGGACCCUGCCAGUGUGUCUGUCCUCUGGCGGCCCUCAGCAGGCUUCUCAGGCAUCAGGGAUGGUCUACACAGCUUUUAAGGUGGUGAUGAGUAGGAAGAGGUGACUUGGUUUGUGGCCUUCGUGGUGGGAGGAGCUUGGUGCUGGGGGUUGGAUGAAACCUUCUGACUGAAAAGCUUGUGUGUUUGAGGAGCAGCAUCUCUGAGAACUCGAAAGCUGGGCCCCCAGGGAUGGAGGGAAGAAGAGCUGACACCCAGGGAGGAGCUAGUGUAGUAGAUUGAGACUCAACAGAGGGGGACUUCCCUGGUGGCUCAGUGAUUAAGAAUCUGCCUGCCAAAGCAGGGGACACGGGUUCGAGCCCUGGUCCGGGAAGAUCCCACAUGCCACGGAGCAACUAAGCCUGAGCACCACAACUACUGAGCCUGCGCUCUAGAGCCCGCGAGCUACAACUGCUGAGCCCGUGUGCCACAACUACUGAAGCCCGCGUGCCUAGAGCCCGUGCUCUGCAACAAGAGAAGCCACUGCAACGAGAAGCCCAAGCACUGCAACGAAGAGUAGUAGCCCCUGCUCGCCGCAACUAGAGAAAGCCCGCACGCAGCAACGAAGACCCAGCGCAGCCAAAAAGAAAUAAAUGAAUGAAUAACUUUUUUAAACGACUCAACGGCGGGAAUUCCCUGACAGUCCAGUGGUUAGGACUCUGUGCUUUCACUACCAGGGGCGUGGGUUCAGUCCCUGGUCAGGGAACUAAGAUCCUGCAAGCCCUGUGGCGCAGCCAAAAAAAAAAAAAAAAAAAAAGACUCAACAGAAAGGAGUUUAUUUGUUUUAGAGCAAGGUCUCUCCUCAGAAGCAUAGCCGUUUGUUGUGGAAGCUGUCUUCUGCAUGGAGGACAGGGAGCAGCAUCCUAGGUGCCAGUACCCCCCCCCCCCACCAACCUCCAAGUUAGGAUGAUCAGAAAUGUCUCCAGAUGCUGCUAAAUGCCCCUGGGUGCACUGUUGCUUCCUGUUUUGACCCCCUGCUUUAGGAUGUAAAGGAUCACUUGUUCUCCUGGUCUUCCCAUGCCCCUUCUCUAGGAUCCUGGAAACCCACUGGGAAUAGAUCCAGAAAUAGAUCUUCUCCUGUCUGGCCCUUCCCCACACAUAGGUCAGGUUUUACUCCUGUUUCAGAUACACACUUGGUGAAUACUGUCAGGAUGUAAAUUUCUGUUUUAGAAAACAGAUUCUGUCCAGGAGAGCAGAGAGCACCAUCUUGCUACUGUUCUGUGAGCUUGUCCUAGCCAAGAUAAAGCUGGGAUGGCAGAGGAGAUAGAGGUCGGCUCUGCCCAGAAACGUCACAGCUCUGCUGUUGACCAGCCUUCUGCAUCCAUCUCAUGUGGGUGCAUCUCUGAUCGUGGCUCUUUUUAUGUUAAGUUCUGGGCUUCGUUGCAGAUGGUUGAUAUUGACGGCAUCGUAGGAGAAAGCUCGAAGCCCAGGGCCUGCCUUGCCCUCUCUAGCUCGUAGUACAGGGUUGCCCGGGAUGCUGCCUCAUGAGGGUGGCCUUGCAGUGCUUGGCUAGAGACAGCUGCUGUGCUGGGUCACUCAGGUCCCCUAGGGGAAGGGUUAGCAUUAAAAACAAAAACAUGUUUUGGGGGUGGAUGAAAUGGGUAAAGGGGUUCGGUUGUAUGGUGACAUUUGAUAACCAGACUUAUUGUGAUGAUCACCUUUUAUUAGUGAAUACAAAGAUUGAAUUGUGUUGUACACUUGAAACUAAUAUGUUAUAUACCAAUUUUACCUGAAUAAAAACAAAAACAAACACACGCUAGUGUCAGGUAUUGUUAAGAGCGUUUUUAAACACGCGGGCACGUUCUCCGCCACACAGUCGUGUGCAGUAGGUAUCAUCAGCCUCUUGUAACAAAUGAGGAAACUGAGGCUGUGUCCAAAGGACACAGAUUUGAACUUGAGCAUUGUAGGUCCCAGGCCACUCCUGCACAGCGGCCCUCCAUGGUGGUCAGCGAUCAAGAACGUGCCCCAGGGCUUCCCUGGUGGAGCAGUGGUUAAGAAUCCACCUGCCAGUGCAGGGGACACAGGUUCGAGCCCUGGUCCGGGAAGAUCCCACGUGCCGCGGAACAACUAAGCCCGUG